This 420-nucleotide ribosomal RNA is filed under the name uncultured bacterium. RNAcentral describes it as "bacterial SSU rRNA". It matches the Rfam family "Bacterial small subunit ribosomal RNA", at positions 355 to 774 of the family's 1533-position model. The record is from RNAcentral.
UAAGGAAUAUUGCUCAAUGGGAGAAAUCCUGAAGCAGCAACGCCGCGUGGAGGAUGAAGGGUCUAUGACUUGUAAACUCCUGUAAAGAAGGAAAAAAUUUCCAUUAGAUGGGAGAUGAUGGUACUUCUGGAGUAAGCCCCGGCUAACUACGUGCCAGCAGCCGCGGUAAUACGUAGGGGGCAAGCGUUGUCCGGAUUUACUGGGUGUAAAGGGUGCUCAGGCGGAUUUGUAAGUCAGAGGUGAAAUCUUACAGCUUAACUGUGAAACUGCCUUUGAUACUGCAAGCCUAGAGUAUGGAAGAGAGUGAUGGAAUAUCUGGUGUAGCAGUGAAAUGCGUAGAUAUCAGAUAGAACACCGAUGGCGAAGGCAGUCACUUGGUCCAUUACUGACGCUAAAGCACGAAAGCGUGGGUAGCAAACA